CCUUUAUAUAUUUGGGUCCUCCAGUGAUGGGAACAUCUAUAUGUACAGUUUUUAUACCUUCUUGCUGAACUGACUCUUUUGUCAUUAUAUAGUGACCUUUCUCUCUUUCUUACAGGAUGCUGCCUGUUGGGUGGAGACCUGUCCAAAGCUGUUGGCCAGAACAUCUACAGGUGGUUGCUGACUCCCUGAAUACACUUCUCUCUGGCCAAUAACCAACCUACUGUGUCCAGAAGUUAUUCUUUCCAGUGGCUUCUUGGUCUCGCUGACUUCAAGAAUGAAGCUGUGGACCCUCAUGGCAAGCAACCAAGAAAUCAUGGGAGAUGUAGCUGUCUGUAUUUAAGAGAUGGGCAGAGCAAGGCUGAACAGAGCAAACAGACAAACGACUGGCGUGUUGAAGGAGAUGCAGCGUUCCUGUGGGUAAUGUCUCCUGUUGUCACCAGUAUAUAGCAUAAAGACAUUUGCCACCUGCCAGCUGCACGCCUGGAUGACCCCUGAGGAUGGAGCUCAUUAUUUUGUCUGUCUUAGUUUAUUUAGGGCCUGAUUAUCUUGCCUAGAUGAAACCUGGCUUCAUCUCAGCCCAUCUCAUUCCCUAUUAUAUUCUAAAUCCUCUUGUUAGGAAAUAAAUCUUGCCAAACUGGUAUCUAAAGCAUAUUCAUGGGCCCUUCAAUCAACGUGUACAGCCCAGAGGUUUGAGGAAGCUCUGUCUCAAAACCUCUCUUUGGCUAAUAAAGCUCAGACCCUAGAGUAUAUGGUGUUGCUUUCUCCUGGGUUGGUUGAAAACAGCACUUUCAUUGGUUUUAUCUUCUCUGACCUAAUGCAAUUUCCCAUUUCCAACCAAACCUAAUAGCUUUAUUUUCUUCACACUCUUCCUCCUUUUUUCCUUUAACACUUCCCAUUGGGAGAGAAAAGAAGCAAGAUUUUCCUUCACUUUACUUUCAUUACCUCUUGAUGCUCUCCCUGAGCAUCAGGUGUCAGAAAUUCUACAAUCAUGAAACGCUAAAAUACUAUAUUAUGUUCCUACAGGUCUGGGCCUUAUAAAUUUC
Molecule: long non-coding RNA, 1043 nt
Filed under: Papio anubis (olive baboon)
Lineage: Eukaryota; Metazoa; Chordata; Mammalia; Primates; Cercopithecidae
Description: lncRNA (ENSPANG00000044098.1)
Source: RNAcentral